Molecule: long non-coding RNA, 351 nt
Organism: Eptesicus fuscus (big brown bat)
Lineage: Eukaryota; Metazoa; Chordata; Mammalia; Chiroptera; Vespertilionidae
Exons: 3
Source: RefSeq, a predicted model, not a curated record
ACCAGGGAGUACCACGAUGCAGUCAGACAAACCACAAGCCAGGACGCAGACACUGCGGCUGCUGCUCUCAAGUGAUUUAUUUGGAACCGAAAUCCCACCCUGUCACGCCCUGCCUACACCUGAAAUGACCUCUUGCCGCCUGUCAGGGCCCUCUGCCUGAUGGCUUUAGAGAAGCAAGAUGCAAACCAAGAAGAAGGAAGAGGCAGACUUCUCCCAUUUCUGGUCUAAUAUAAACUACAAACACUCCUUUUCUAGACAACGACUUCCUAAGCAGUGAAAUGUGCAUGAAUACCAACGAAUACUUGGUUUAACAUCAUGAGAUGGCCGUGAAUAAAAAUGGCAAGAAAGGAA